This 781-nucleotide long non-coding RNA is filed under the name Triticum aestivum (bread wheat). RNAcentral's name for it is "long non-coding RNA (TAES_LNC004115)". Lineage: Eukaryota; Viridiplantae; Streptophyta; Magnoliopsida; Poales; Poaceae. The record is from RNAcentral.
UGGAGAUAGAAUGAUUUUUUAUUUGCACAAAGCCACACACAACUGAUAUUGGCUAAACAGAUAAUUAACUUUGUUUGCACCAAUUAGCAUGCUUGUCAGGUGGAAAUAUGUGCAUCCAGGCACACUUGAACAUCUGGGUGGGAAGGAUGGAACAAGUGCGGUUAACAAUUUCAGUCUGAUAAUUUGAUGUCCGUUUUUAUCAAUUGAUAAUCCAUAUAUGUUUAAAACAUAUUUUCUUCAGCAAUUUAGAGAUUUCAGUCCAGCCUCCCGACUCCUGAAUACAAUGUCUUAUCAUGUUCUCAGGUUUUAAAGCAUAUAAGGUAAAAGUAUCGAUCUUAGUUUUUUUACACCUUUAUGCUUCACAGUAUAUAGUGUUUUGCAUGAUGAAAACAUUGAGGAUUUUACUGAUGCAUAACCUGGUGCACUUGCAAGUAAAAUUGCUCAGAGUUGUUUUAGUUAGGCCAAACACUGCGAUAGCACAACCUGUCUCUAAUUAGGCAUCAUUGAAUUUUAUGGGUCAAGAAGCUUUAAUGAAGCUCAUCGAUAAUUUCAUAGGUUGUAGUCAUGGUGGGUUGAUACUAUUUUUGGUGUCUUCUGAUAUCCUUCCUGUGAUUUUUAAUUACAAUUAUUUUGUGUUGUUGCAAUGCAGCAGGUUCAUAGUCUGAUGGGGAUGCUUAUAUUUGUUGAUGACACUGAGAUUUAAAUAAAUAUAGAAGAUGAAGACUUUGGUGUCAUAAUUUAAGAAAAAAGCAAGACUAAGAUGAUGGUAGCCAUGCGUAGG